GACGAACGCUGGCGGCGUGCUUAACACAUGCAAGUCGAACGGAACGUCCCUGCUUUUUUGCGGUGCUCUGGUUACCGCCUGGUAACUAACCCUUAAGUUACCUGCCCUUGCCUUUAGGGUAUCUUCAUACCGCUUGGGCUCAUACCACCUAGGAGCUCCUGCUUCAUGAUGGGGGUUCGAAAGUUUCGGCGGUUGGUGAUGGACUCGCGGCGUAUCGGCUUGUUCGUUGGGUAGUGGCUUACCAAGGCUUUGACGGGUAGCAGGCCUGCGCGGGUGACCGGCCACACUGGGACUGAGAUACGGCACGGACUACUACGGGACGCAGGAGUGGGGAAGAGAGCACUAGGGGCGGAAGCCUGAUGCAGCAACGCCGCGUGCGGGAUGAGGGCCAUCGGGUUGGAAUCCGCAGUUGCCUGUGACGAGACGUGAGUGACGGUAAUGGGUAAAGAAGCACCGGCUAACUACGUG
RNAcentral lists this ribosomal RNA (468 nucleotides) under uncultured bacterium. Its description in RNAcentral is "partial 16S ribosomal RNA". It matches the Rfam family "Bacterial small subunit ribosomal RNA", at positions 28 to 507 of the family's 1533-position model. The record is from RNAcentral.